This 1405-nucleotide ribosomal RNA is filed under the name Nocardia cyriacigeorgica. RNAcentral describes it as "bacterial SSU rRNA". It matches the Rfam family "Bacterial small subunit ribosomal RNA". Lineage: Bacteria; Bacillati; Actinomycetota; Actinomycetes; Mycobacteriales; Nocardiaceae. The record is from RNAcentral.
UCGAGCGGUAAGGCCCUUCGGGGUACACGAGCGGCGAACGGGUGUGUAACACGUGGGUGAUCUGCCUCGCACUCUGGGAUAAGCCUGGGAAACUGGGUCUAAUACCGGAUAUGACCUUACAUGCAUGGUGUUUGGUGGAAAGAUUUAUCGGUGCGAGAUGGGCCCGCGGCCUAUCAGCUUGUUGGUGGGGUAAUGGCCUACCAAGGCGACGACGGGUAGCCGGCCUGAGAGGGCGACCGGCCACACUGGGACUGAGACACGGCCCAGACUCCUACGGGAGGCAGCAGUGGGGAAUAUUGCACAAUGGGCGAAAGCCUGAUGCAGCGACGCCGCGUGAGGGAUGACGGCCUUCGGGUUGUAAACCUCUUUCGACAGGGACGAAGCGCAAGUGACGGUACCUGUAGAAGAAGCACCGGCCAACUACGUGCCAGCAGCCGCGGUAAUACGUAGGGUGCGAGCGUUGUCCGGAAUUACUGGGCGUAAAGAGCUUGUAGGCGGCUUGUCGCGUCGAUCGUGAAAACUUGGGGCUCAACCCCAAGCUUGCGGUCGAUACGGGCAGGCUUGAGUACUUCAGGGGAGACUGGAAUUCCUGGUGUAGCGGUGAAAUGCGCAGAUAUCAGGAGGAACACCGGUGGCGAAGGCGGGUCUCUGGGAAGUAACUGACGCUGAGAAGCGAAAGCGUGGGUAGCGAACAGGAUUAGAUACCCUGGUAGUCCACGCCGUAAACGGUGGGUACUAGGUGUGGGUUUCCUUCCACGGGAUCCGUGCCGUAGCUAACGCAUUAAGUACCCCGCCUGGGGAGUACGGCCGCAAGGCUAAAACUCAAAGGAAUUGACGGGGGCCCGCACAAGCGGCGGAGCAUGUGGAUUAAUUCGAUGCAACGCGAAGAACCUUACCUGGGUUUGACAUACACCGGAAACCUGCAGAGAUGUAGGCCCCCUUGUGGUCGGUGUACAGGUGGUGCAUGGCUGUCGUCAGCUCGUGUCGUGAGAUGUUGGGUUAAGUCCCGCACCGAGCGCAACCCUUAUCUUAUGUUGCCAGCGCGUAAUGGCGGGGACUCGUGAGAGACUGCCGGGGUCAACUCGGAGGAAGGUGGGGACGACGUCAAGUCAUCAUGCCCCUUAUGUCCAGGGCUUCACACAUGCUACAAUGGCCGGUACAGAGGGCUGCGAUACCGUGAGGUGGAGCGAAUCCCUUAAAGCCGGUCUCAGUUCGGAUCGGGGUCUGCAACUCGACCCCGUGAAGUUGGAGUCGCUAGUAAUCGCAGAUCAGCAACGCUGCGGUGAAUACGUUCCCGGGCCUUGUACACACCGCCCGUCACGUCAUGAAAGUCGGUAACACCCGAAGCCGGUGGCCUAACCCCUCUGGGAGGGAGCCGUCGAAGGUGGGAUCGGCGAUUGGGACG